AAAACUUUCAACAACGGAUCUCUUGGUUCUGGCAUCGAUGAAGAACGCAGCGAAAUGCGAUAAGUAAUGUGAAUUGCAGAAUUCAGUGAAUCAUCGAAUCUUUGAACGCACAUUGCGCCCUUGGUAUUCCGAGGGGCAUGCCUGUUCGAGCGUCAUUACACCACUCAAGCCUCGCUUGGUAUUGGGCGCCGCGGUCCGCCGCGCGCCUCAAUGUUUCCGGCUGAGCUCUCCGUCUCUAAGCGUUGUGGUUAAAACUAUCCGCUUGCGAAAUUGGGGGGCGUCUGGCCGUUAAACCAUUACUCAAAGGUUGACCUCGGAUCAGGUAGG
Molecule: ribosomal RNA, 327 nt
Filed under: Teratosphaeriaceae sp. 04 IP-2014
Lineage: Eukaryota; Fungi; Ascomycota; Dothideomycetes; Mycosphaerellales; Teratosphaeriaceae
Description: eukaryotic LSU rRNA
Rfam family: 5.8S ribosomal RNA (bases 3-155)
Source: RNAcentral